Roridomyces roridus is the source of this 92-nucleotide non-coding RNA. Lineage: Eukaryota; Fungi; Basidiomycota; Agaricomycetes; Agaricales; Mycenaceae. The record is from the annotation of a GenBank genome assembly.
UUCGAUGUGGCGUAUCGGUAACAUAUCCGCCUCUCAUUAUCUGUUGCCAGAAUUUGACGCGGUUGCGCGGGGUUCGAUUCCCCGCAUCGGAA